Non-coding RNA from Elaeis guineensis (African oil palm), 7299 nucleotides. Lineage: Eukaryota; Viridiplantae; Streptophyta; Magnoliopsida; Arecales; Arecaceae. The record is from RefSeq and is a predicted model, not a curated record.
UUCUCUUUAGAGUCUUCUUCUUCUUAAAACUCUAAUUAUGGAGUGGUUUGAUUGAGAUGAAUUGAGAAAGAAUUGAGAAAAUUAUGCUUAGGUGUUUGAAUUUGUAGUUACCUGCAUAAUAUGGAAAAAAAUUAAUCCGUCAAGAUCCGAUUCUGAGAUUUUACUUUGUGGAUUUGAUUGAAAAGGUUAAUAAUCUUUGUAGUGGUUGGAAAAUUAUCUGCACUCGCAAUGUUUCUUUGAAAAAGUUGAUAUUGUUUCUGCUGUAUGGAGAAGGACUUGAUGUUUGAGAUAGGAAGCACAAAUAUGAUUUCCGUUGUUUGCUUUUAUGAAGUGAUGUCCGUUGGAUUAAGAGGAAACUUUGAGAAGUUAUUAUUGCUGCAGGACUCGAAAUUUAUAGUAGAGUGGAUCGACUUGGGUGAGAUUGGACUGGAGUGAUCCUUGUGACCUGACGAAAAUUCCUCUAAUCUACAAAAUCAAUCAAGAAAUCGGAUGGGAAUCCUUCGAUUCUUGACCCUCCGAUGCUUAAAUCAGUUCGAGCUUGGAGAAUAGGGAUGAAAAAGAAUGGAAGAGCAAGAGAGAUUGAGUAGAACUGAAGGAGAACUAGAUGGAAGCCAAGAGUCUGACCUAAUUUCCUACCGGCAGAAUAUCUUCUAAUUUCAGAGAGCAGAACUUAUCGAUGAAAGAUUCUUAACCCUUUAUUUAUAGAGGAGUUGAGGAGGUAAAUUCAGAGUUUGUUAGAUCAUUAGAGGAGUGUUAGACGGUUAGAGAGCCACCUGCAAGUGAGUUGACUUACAGCUGUGCAUUUGAGCUUGACAUGAGAUCGUGGCCAACUGUGAUCUGGUUGAAGAAACCACCGCGAGCGUUCGUAGAAUGAUUAAGUUCAUCAGUAUAAUAGUUCAUCUCGAUAGAUGAUCGGGGUGAAAUAGAGAUAUUCUAAUUCUUUCCGGAUAAGAAGGCUUGGGGUUCAGGUCGAUAGAUAUCCAAUCUGAAUAUUUUUUUUAUUAGCUAAAAUGUCAUCUGGUUAGAACACAAGGGUGUUCUUUAUUCAGGUCGGCGAAAUAUCGAGCUGAAUCUACUAAUCGGCAAAUUAGUCUGCUGGGAUCCGGUGCUUUCAGAUUGACAUCUCUUUGAUCUCGUAUGAUGAUGCCACAUGUUUUGAGGCUGGUUUAAUGCACCAAUAUUUUGCCUCCCACUUCUUAUGUUCGAGGUGAUAAUCCUUUGAUUGGAUUAGGAGGUAGAAGUAUUUUCAUAAGGUUGGGUUCUCGUCAAUUUGGGAGGCGUUUGUCAUAGAGAUCAGAUUUUACCGAUCAGAAGAUCUUAUCUCCAUACUUGAAUUUUAGCUCGGUUGUUCAUUGACUAGGAGAUCUUAUCUUCGUGUUUGAAUUUUCGAUCUGAUUUUCACUGAUCAAGAGAUCUUAUCUCUAUAUUUGAAUUUUGGCUCGGUCGUUCACCGAUCAGAAGAUCUUAUCUCCGUGCUUGAAUUUUUGAUUCAGUUUUCACCAAUCAAGAGAUCUUAUCUUCAUACUUGAAUUUUGGCUCGGUCGUUCACCGACCAAGAGAUCUCAUCUUUGUGUUUGAAUUUUUGAUUCGAUUUUCAUCGAUCAGGAGAUUUUAUCUCUGCAUUCAAAUUUUGUCUCGAUCAUUCACCGACUAGGAGAUCUUAUCUCCGUGUUUUACUUUGAGACUUUUCGGACUGGUGUUGUCGCCGUCUGGAAUAAAUGCGCCACACCUCGAGAGCAUAAAAAUUAAUUACUUGGUUGAAAACGAAGAGACUUGAUCUUUCAAAAAAUGAUCCGCCUGAUCUUCUAUCAUCAUUGCUUGGAUGGACGAUUUGAAAAUAUCAAAUAAGAGUGUGACAUCUGUCAAUGUCUGAUUGGUUUAUUAGCUUGGGCAUGGAUCGGUCCGUCAUGGCAGAAUCUGGAGAAAGUUGUACCUAACUGCCGUCUGAUCGAGCAUUGGAUUAACGCCAGGUGUCACAAAUCGGCAAGAAGAUCAGUUAAUCCAGGCCGUCGGUUUGCCUAUAAAACGCUUUUGCCCCCCAAUCACUGUUUAUUUCUGCUGUUACUGUGUGAAGGUGCUGCCAAAUUAUUUUCUGAAGCUUUCCUGCAUUGAACGGCCAUCGGAGAUAGUGAGAACCUUCGUUGGAGCGGGAGGAAAAAGAGUUCAUUCUCCAUCUUUUGGGAGGAUUUCAUUUGUCUCUUAGGUAUCAGUCCUCUCUCAUUUGUUCUCUUUCAGUCAUAGAGUAGCCCUUCUUUCUCUUUCGAUUCUUUUCAUUUUUUCAUCACAUUUUUCUCUGAGAAAUAUGUCCAAGUGAGGUAGAGAGGGGAAAAAGACCGUAGGUGAUUCACAGGUUAUGUCGAUCCGGCCCUUAUUGGCCAUUGAGGUAGGAAAUCCAUCCCGAAAGAACCCUGAAAUCGGUCCCAUAUGUGAGGGGAGUUCGGAUCACAGCACAGAAUUUUCUGUGCAUGGUCUCACGGACUACCUUAGUCCAGAGACAGAAGAAUCCAUUUUGAUCGAGGAGAACUUCCUAACCUUUAGGAAAAAAUAUAAUAUAUCCGAUGAGUAUGAAAUGAUAUUAUCGGAUCUGGAAGGUCGGGUAUCUGAGCCUCUCGAGGGUUGCAUAGUUUUCUACAACGAGUCCCUUCGAUCUGGCCUGCAGUUCUCACUGCACCCCUUUUUCAGCAACAUCUUUGAUUUUAUAGAGCCCAUUCCACUUAAAUAACUCCAAACGUAAUUAAGAUGAUUAUAGUAUUCAUAAUCAUGUGUAAUUUUCUUCACAUAGAUCUUAGGAUCUCCCUAUUUAGAUCCUUGGUCCUCUUGAAAUGACAUCCGAAUGAGAAGAGUUGAUGGUAUUUCUCAUCUCGAAAAAAUCAUAAAUUUGGACCUAGCCUUCCCUCUUCGAUUCACGGCUGGAAAUGCCAUUUUUUCUUCAUUCGGGCUCCUAUUCCAUGGGGUUUUAGGACUUCCUAGGAAUGUCCGGACACCAAACACAACUCUAAUGAUGAAAUUCUCUCCGGAGAAGAGGUGGCUCAUUCCACCCUGAUUACUACCAAAAUACCCAAGUUAUCUUUUCUGAUAAAUGAUCAGGCAUUGUAUGGUGCCGGUAUCAGCCUGUAUUCUCCUUGGAGUAAGAUCGAAAUAUUUUAUUUUUCAACUUUAUCAUUUUUUUACUGUCUUUAUUAUUCUGAAAUGCCUGUCUAAUGCAGAAAUGAGAUUCAAUCCGACGAAGGUAGAGGAGAGGAAGAGGAAGGAUCAACCAAAGCCAUCUGCUACUGAUCCUGCAUCGAAAAGAGUUAAAGGUGCAGUGCCUCCCCCCGCCUAAGCGGCAUCCUGAUUUUCUUCGGCGACCCCUUCUCCAGCUAACUCGGGGAGGAGUGAAGCCUCCCGGGGACCACAAAAUCUCUCCGAGCCUUAUCAUUGGAACCCCCACCUUGCUAACCCGCUGUGGUGAGGAUAAAGAAUGACACUGCCCGACUUGCACCGCCUUCCAAAGAGAUCGGACGCAAUCAACUGCAACUUCCACGGCCCCAUCGAGUUCAUUUGAAAGAGAUGUCGUGACUAGGAUGUCACUCAUGGAGCGACCCCGAUUGGGCCGCGAUCUUCUCGAGUCAGUGAUGCCGACCGUCGAUCUGAAGGUGCGUCGAAAGAAUAAGCUAGAGUAGAUUGUCAACCACGGAUUGGAACAGCUCAUGCAUGUCACCAUCGACUUCAAGGUUAUGUAUAAGAACAUGAUCCACUUGUUGAAGAAUAAAGAGGCCAUGGAUGCCAAUCUGAUCAUUCUUUAGGAGGAGAAAAAAGAGCCCGAACUCAGUCCAGAACUCAAACAUCAACUCGAAGAAAAGCUGAAGGCACUGAAGGAGAAGAAUCAAAAUCUAUUGGAUCUUCGGCGAAAGGUUAAUGAACAGGUGAAAAAUAUUUUUGAUCUACAUACUAUCGCUGAGAAGAACAAGGAACUGGAGUCAAGGCUUAGAGAGGCGGAGAAGGCCAAUGAGGCUCAUGAGAAGGUCAUAGAGGCCUUGAAGAGGCAAAUCAAGGAGCAGGACAAGGCGGCUAAGGCAGUUGAGCUAUACAAAGCCUUCGAGGAGUUCGAGGAUGAAGUAUCCGAGAGCUCCGAGGGCGUAUAUGAUUACGCCUUUAGUUAGUACCGCAAUCUGAUCAAAAAAUUGUAUCCCUAGGUAGAUAUCUCCAAGGUCACUCCAAAGGUAGCCGUUGAGAUGGACGUAAAGGGGGAUCUUGAGUCACCCCCUAAGUGGCAGAGGAGCUAGCAAAGGAAUCUGGUCGGUCUCCUACUGGGGUGAACAUAAUUGAAGCCAUCACCGUGGAGCCUAUAUUUUGUGGUGCCUCUAGUAAAGAUCGAAGUCCUCGAGGCUGGCAAGAAGUCAGAGUCCACCCCAGCCGCAGAGCCUACUACCAUCGAUACUAUUGGGAAGCCAGAGCAAACCAAAAAAGAACCAAGGAGAGCUUCGAUGCGUCGGUGAUCAUCCAGUAGAAAUUUUUCUUGCUUCUUGGGAUGUACUGACCUGAUACAGGUCUUCUUCUUUUCUUCUUUUUUUUCUUUUUGGAAUAUGUAAAUCCAAUGCAGGUUCCCACUUUUGUACUUUCUUUUCAUAUUAAUGCAAGAAAUAUUUUUUCAAACGUCAUGAUUUAAUCCGUAUGUUCUAAUAAAUUCUAUUGCUUGCCAGGAUAAAAUAACUAUACAUAUCUUUAUAAUUCGACAGAACCGAAAACUGAUGACUUUAAAUUCAUUCAUCAUCAAUUAAUUGAAAAUCAAAGUUUGGAUGUAUCUUUAUUUUUACGACCUUGAACGGAUCAAGUUUGAGAUUCGAAGAUCGAUAUUUUUAAGAGAAUCCAAAGACAGUCUUGCUCUAGAGAUCAAUAUAGUAUCACAUCGGUUCGAAACUGACAUAAGAUCCUCUCGGUCUUGUAUUCGGAAUAAGAUUUGUCGGUUGAUGGGGGAAUCAAGCCCUUCGGGACUUUAUCGGAUUGGGAUUCGAAUUAACAUGUAUGCCCUUAGGGGUUUUACCGGACUGGAAUUUGGAUUAAUAUGUAUGCCCUUCGAGGUUUCAUCGGAUUGGAAUUCGGAUUAAUAUGUAUGCCCUUUGGGAUUUUAUUGGACUGAAAUCCGGAUUAACAUGUAUGUCCUUCAGAGUUUUAUCAGACUGAAAUCCGAAUUAAUAUGUAUGCCUUUCGGGGCUUUACCGGACUGGAAUCCAGAUUAACAUGUAUGCCCUUCGAGACUUUACCAGACUGAAAUCCGGAUUAACAUGUAUGCCCUAUGGGGCUUCAUCGGAUUGAAAUCUGGAUUAAUAUGUAUGUCCUUCGGAGCGUUAUCGAUUGAAAUCCGGAGUAAUAUGUAUGCCCUUCAGGGUUUAAUCGGACUGAAAUCUAGAUUAACAUAUAUGCCUUACGGGGCUUCACCAGAUUGGAAUUCGGAUUAAUAUGUAUGCCCUUCGGGGUUUUACCAGACUGAAAUUUGGAUUAACAUGUAUGCCCUUCGGGGCUUUAUCGGACUGAAAUCCAGAUUAACAUGUAUGCCUUUCAAGGCUUCACCGGAUUGAAAUCCAGAUUUUGAUAAAAGAAAAAACAUGACAUAUGAGAAAGAGCUCGUUAGAACAUUUUCAUUGAUAAUAUUUUUUGAGAUUUUCAGAAUUUCAAGUGUGGAGAAUAACAGAUCCGUCUAAAUUCUCAAUUCUAUAAGCCUCUGGGUGAACUACAUCGGUGAUCCGAUAGGGUCCUUCCCAAUUGGGAGUUGUUUACCUUAUUUAGUAGAUUUUGAGACUUCAGCCAUCUCAGGAUGAGGUGAUCCUUUUGAAAUGACUUCGGUAUUACACGGGCAUUGUAAUAUUUAGCAGUUCUCUGCUUAUAGGUCGCCAUUCUAGCAUGGGCUUGUUUUCUCAUUUCAUCAAAAAGAUCUAGAUCGGUCCUCAAUCAGUCAGAAUUGGUUAUCUUAUGAAAAUUUUUGACUCUAUCAGAUAAUAGGCCAAUCUCAACGGGAAUCAUUGCUUCAGUCCUAUAAGUGAGCCCGAAAGGAGUCUCUCCUAUCGGAAUCCGAUACGUGGUUCGGUAUGCCCACAGUAUACUCUGUAGCUCUUCAGCCCACAAUCUUUUUGCAUCAGUGGGCCUUAUUUUCAAAACUUGAAGGAUAGUUCUAUUAGUUACUUCAACCUCGCCAUUUGACUGUGGAUGUGCAAUAAAAGUGAGUCGGUGAUUAAUAUGAAAUUUAGAGUAGAAUUCAUUGAAUUUGGGGUUAUCAAACUGCCGACCUUUAUUAGUGAUGAUGAUCUGAGGUAAAUCAAAUCGGCAUGUUAUAGAUUUUUAGACAAAAUCUUGCAUCUUUUUCUUUGUGAUCUGGGCUAAAGGUUUUGUCUCUACCCAUUUUGUGAAAUAAUCAAUGGCUACUAUAAAAAAUUUUGUUUGGCCUGCCGCUAUUGGGAAAGGUCUUAAUAUAUCCAUCCCCCAAAUUGUAAAGGAGCAAAGAGCGGUAAUAGAAAUAAGCUCAGUAGUAGGUUGAUAUUGGAUAUUAGCGUACCUCUGGCAUUGGUCGUACUUGUUGACGAGAUCAACUGCAUCUUUUUGAAUAAUUGGCCAGUAAUAACCUUAUCGGAUUACUUUAUAAGCAAGUGACCUGCUUUCCAGAUGGUUUCCACAUAUUUCCUCAUGUACUUCUCGAAGUGCGUAGUCAGCUUCAUAUGGUGUCAAACAUCGAAGUAGAGGAAAAGAAUAAGACUUUUUAUAUAAGCGGCUGUUUUGAAGAACAUACUAUGGAGCUUGUCUUCUAAUGCUUCUGGCCUUGACUGGAUCAUUGGGCAGAACUCCUUUAGAUAUAUAAUCUAUGAGGGGAUCAAUCCAACGUGGCUCAUGAUCGACCUGAAAUACAGAGAGUAUCUCAAUAUUAGGCCUGUCCAACUGUUCAAUCAGUACCUUCUGAUUUAGUUCGGAAAAAUCCGAAGUUGCGAGGUGGGACAGAGCGUCAGUCCGGACAUUUUUCGAUCUAGAAAUCUGAAGCACUUCAAGCUCUUCAAAAUUUUCGGAUAGUUUUUUGACAUUUUGCAAGUAACGGGCCAUCGUGGAAUCUUUGGCUUCAAAUUGACUUCGGACUUGGCCGACAACGAGUUGUGAAUCUAUAAAAACCUUUAAUUUUCUGACUCCAAGCUCUUUUGCCAUUUUGAGAUCCGCCGUUAAGGCUUCAUAUUCAGCACUAUUAUUGAAAGUGUUGAAAUUGAACCUCAGGGCCUGUUCAGUCAUGAACCUUUCAAGACUAGCCAAAGUCAAACCGAUGCUAUUUUUUUAAGAACUUGA